RNAcentral lists this ribosomal RNA (544 nucleotides) under Fusarium fujikuroi. Its description in RNAcentral is "eukaryotic LSU rRNA". The stretch from base 178 to 331 matches the Rfam family "5.8S ribosomal RNA". The record is from RNAcentral. Lineage: Eukaryota; Fungi; Ascomycota; Sordariomycetes; Hypocreales; Nectriaceae.
CCGUAGGGUGACCUGCGGAGGGAUCAUUACCGAGUUUACAACUCCCAAACCCCUGUGAACAUACCAAUUGUUGCCUCGGCGGAUCAGCCCGCUCCCGGUAAAACGGGACGGCCCGCCAGAGGACCCCUAAACUCUGUUUCUAUAUGUAACUUCUGAGUAAAACCAUAAAUAAAUCAAAACUUUCAACAACGGAUCUCUUGGUUCUGGCAUCGAUGAAGAACGCAGCAAAAUGCGAUAAGUAAUGUGAAUUGCAGAAUUCAGUGAAUCAUCGAAUCUUUGAACGCACAUUGCGCCCGCCAGUAUUCUGGCGGGCAUGCCUGUUCGAGCGUCAUUUCAACCCUCAAGCCCCCGGGUUUGGUGUUGGGGAUCGGCGAGCCCUUGCGGCAAGCCGGCCCCGAAAUCUAGUGGCGGUCUCGCUGCAGCUUCCAUUGCGUAGUAGUAAAACCCUCGCAACUGGUACGCGGCGCGGCCAAGCCGUUAAACCCCCAACUUCUGAAUGUUGACCUCGGAUCAGGUAGGAAUACCCGCUGAACUUAAGCAUAUC